This 451-nucleotide ribosomal RNA is filed under the name uncultured bacterium. RNAcentral describes it as "bacterial SSU rRNA". It matches the Rfam family "Bacterial small subunit ribosomal RNA", at positions 354 to 796 of the family's 1533-position model. The record is from RNAcentral.
GUGGGGAAUCUUGCGCAAUGGGGGAAACCCUGACGCAGCAACGCCGCGUGGGUGAUGAAGGCCUUCGGGUCGUAAAGCCCUGUCGGGUGGGAAGAAACGUGCGGAUGCUAAUACCAUCCGUAUUUGACGGUACCACCGAAGGAAGCACCGGCUAACUCCGUGCCAGCAGCCGCGGUAAUACGGAGGGUGCAAGCGUUGUUCGGAAUUAUUGGGCGUAAAGCGCGUGUAGGCGGUUGAGUAAGUCAGAUGUGAAAGCCUUCCGCUUAACGGGAGAAGUGCAUUUGAAACUACUCGGCUUGAGUACGGGAGAGGAGAGUGGAAUUCCCGGUGUAGAGGUGAAAUUCGUAGAUAUCGGGAGGAACACCAGUGGCGAAGGCGGCUCUCUGGUCCGAUACUGACGCUGAGACGCGAAAGCGUGGGGAGCAAACAGGAUUAGAAACCCCGGUAGUCC